Molecule: ribosomal RNA, 468 nt
Filed under: uncultured bacterium
Lineage: Bacteria
Description: partial 16S ribosomal RNA
Rfam family: Bacterial small subunit ribosomal RNA
Source: RNAcentral
GACGAACGCUGGCGGCGUGCUUAACACAUGCAAGUCGAACGGAAAGGCCCUGCUUUUGUGGGGUGCUCGAGUGGCGAACGGGUGAGUAACACGUGAGUAACCUGCCCUUGACUUUGGGAUAACUUCAGGAAACUGGGGCUAAUACCGGAUAGGAGCUCCUGCUGCAUGGUGGGGGUUGGAAAGUUUCGGCGGUUGGGGAUGGACUCGCGGCUUAUCAGCUUGUUGGUGGGGUAGUGGCUUACCAAGGCUUUGCCGGGUAGCCGGCCUGAGAGGGUGACCGGCCACAUUGGGAAUGAGAUACGGCCCAGACUCCUACGGGAGGCAGCAGUGGGGAAUAUUGCACAAUGGGCGGAAGCCUGAUGCAGCCACGCCGCGUGCGGGAUGACGGCCUUCGGGUUGUAAACCGCUUUCGCCUGUGACGAAGCGUGAGUGACGGUAAUGGGUAAAGAAGCACCGGCUAACUACGUG